GGUGGUUCUCAGGUGACACACCCUGGAAUUGGGCUCCCUUCUCUCUGGUUCCGGGUGCAUCACCUGAGAACCACA
Myotis davidii is the source of this 75-nucleotide non-coding RNA. The record is from Rfam. NCBI's taxonomy places the organism in Eukaryota, Metazoa, Chordata, Mammalia, Chiroptera, Vespertilionidae.